This 497-nucleotide ribosomal RNA is filed under the name uncultured bacterium. RNAcentral describes it as "partial 16S ribosomal RNA". It matches the Rfam family "Bacterial small subunit ribosomal RNA", at positions 28 to 507 of the family's 1533-position model. The record is from RNAcentral.
GAUGAACGCUGGCGGCGUGCCUAAUACAUGUAAGUCGAGCGAACAGACGAGGAGCUUGCUCCUCUGACGUUAGCGGCGGACGGGUGAGUAACACGUGGAUAACCUACCUAUAAGACUGGGAUAACUUCGGGAAACCGGAGCUAAUACCGGAUAAUAUAUUGAACCGCAUGGUUCAAUAGUGAAAGACGGUUUUGCUGUCACUUAUAGAUGGAUCCGCGCCGCAUUAGCUAGUUGGUAAGGUAACGGCUUACCAAGGCAACGAUGCGUAGCCGACCUGAGAGGGUGAUCGGCCACACUGGAACUGAGACACGGUCCAGACUCCUACGGGAGGCAGCAGUAGGGAAGCUUCGGCAAUGGGCGAAAGCCUGACGGAGCAACGCCGCGUGAGUGAUGAAGGUCUUCGGAUCGUAAAACUCUGUUAUUAGGGAAGAACAAAUGUGUAAGUAACUAUGCACGUCUUGACGGUACCUAAUCAGAAAGCCACGGCUAACUACGUG